GCCAGGAGUGGUGGCGCACACCUGUAAUCCCAGACACUCAGGAGGCUGAGGCAGGAGAAUCACUUGAACCCGGGAGGUGGAGGUUGCAGUGAGCCGAGAUGGCGCCACUGCACUCUAGCCUGGGCAACAGAGUGAGACUCUGUCUCAA
Pan troglodytes (chimpanzee) is the source of this 148-nucleotide non-coding RNA. It matches the Rfam family "Metazoan signal recognition particle RNA". Rfam says of the family: The signal recognition particle (SRP) is a universally conserved ribonucleoprotein. It is involved in the co-translational targeting of proteins to membranes. The eukaryotic SRP consists of a 300-nucleotide 7S RNA and six proteins: SRPs 72, 68, 54, 19, 14, and 9. The record is from Rfam. NCBI's taxonomy places the organism in Eukaryota, Metazoa, Chordata, Mammalia, Primates, Hominidae.